UACGGAGGGAGCUAGCGUUAUUCGGAAUUACCGGGCGUAAAGCGCACGUAGGCGGCUUUGUAAGUUAGAGGUGAAAGCCCAGAGCUCAACUCUGGAACUGCCUUUAAGACUGCAUCGCUUGAAUCCAGGAGAGGUGAGUGGAAUUCCGAGUGUAGAGGUGAAAUUCGUAGAUAUUCGGAAGAACACCAGUGGCGAAGGCGGCUCACUGGACUGGUAUUGACGCUGAGGUGCGAAAGCGUGGGGAGCAAACAGG
RNAcentral lists this ribosomal RNA (253 nucleotides) under uncultured bacterium. RNAcentral's name for it is "partial 16S ribosomal RNA". It matches the Rfam family "Bacterial small subunit ribosomal RNA", at positions 524 to 776 of the family's 1533-position model. The record is from RNAcentral.